GAUGAAGAACGUAGCAAAAUGCGAUAAGUAGUGUGAAUUGCAGAAUUCAGUGAAUCAUCGAAUCUUUGAACGCACAUUGCGCCCCUUGGUAUUCCAUGGGGCAUGCCUGUUCGAGCGUCAUUUGUACCUUCAAGCUUUGCUUGGUGUUGGGUGUUUGUCUCGCCUUUGCGUGUAGACUCGCCUUAAAAUAAUUGGCAGCCGGCGUAUUGAUUUCGGAGCGCAGUACAUCUCGCGCUUUGCACUCAUAACGACAGCGUCCAAAAGUACAUUUUACACUCUUGACCUCGGAUCAGGUAGGGAUACCCGCUGAACUUAAGCAUAUCAAUAAGCGGAGGG
Molecule: unclassified non-coding RNA, 336 nt
Filed under: soil metagenome
Description: partial contains 5.8S ribosomal RNA, internal transcribed spacer 2, and large subunit ribosomal RNA
Rfam family: 5.8S ribosomal RNA (bases 1-120)
Source: RNAcentral